UUGAGCCGUAUGAUGGGAAACUGUCACGUACGGUUCUGAGGGGAGUUGGGGGCAGCGAUGCCCCCCGCUUACCCGAC
Bacillus cereus ATCC 14579 is the source of this 77-nucleotide non-coding RNA. Lineage: Bacteria; Bacillati; Bacillota; Bacilli; Caryophanales; Bacillaceae. The record is from Rfam.